Molecule: ribosomal RNA, 333 nt
Filed under: uncultured bacterium
Lineage: Bacteria
Description: bacterial SSU rRNA
Rfam family: Bacterial small subunit ribosomal RNA
Source: RNAcentral
CUCGUAGGCGGCCAACUAAGUCGGACGUGAAAUCCCUCGGCUUAACCGGGGAACUGCGUCUGAUACUGGAUGACUUGAGUGUGGGAGAGGGAUGCGGAAUUCCAGGUGUAGCGGUGAAAUGCGUAGAUAUCUGGAGGAACACCGGUGGCGAAGGCGGCAUCCUGGACCACUACUGACGCUGAGUGAGCGAAAGCCAGGGGAGCAAACGGGAUUAGAUACCCCGGUAGUCCUGGCCCUAAACGAUGAAUGCUUGGUGUGGCGGGUAUCGAUCCCUGCCGUGCCGAAGCUAACGCAUUAAGCAUUCCGCCUGGGGAGUACGGUCGCAAGGCUGAA